Molecule: long non-coding RNA, 323 nt
Organism: Drosophila innubila
Lineage: Eukaryota; Metazoa; Arthropoda; Insecta; Diptera; Drosophilidae
Exons: 2
Source: RefSeq, a predicted model, not a curated record
AUUUUGUUCAAUUUUAUCAUUGCUAGAAAUGAUGAGUUCCCGCAUAGAUUCUUUCCAAUGUCAGGAAACAGCUUUGCUUGAAUUUCACUGAGGAUCUAUUCUUUAUCCACGGCGCCUCGACUUCAAGCAAUUUCUAUCACGAUAUCAGCAGGUCUUGUUCGUCCUCUUGAAGUGCUCUAUAAUCUCGGUUUGCGAAGUCAACGUUCGUCUGUUUUGUGCAGUUUGUUCCUUUACUGCCGACGUUUAUGAAUAGCUGGCCUCUUCAAUAGAGAAAAAGGAAAGUGUGUGAAUUAGCAUAUAAAUAAAAAUUAUUAUCAAAAAUA